AGGGCUGGGCUCAUCUGGGACACCUGGGACUUUCUCACCUGGGUCUUUCAUCCUGGGCUUCUUCCUGUCAUGGUGGCCACAGGUGUUCCGAGGGGAUGAGGUUGGACCUGCAAGGCCUGUGAAGGUGUAGGCUCUGAGGCUGCACAACUUCACUUCCACUGCAUUCUCUUGGUCAAAGCAGCAGACAAGGCCGCUCGGACACAAAGAGUGGAGAGAGCCAAGGAAACUUUUCUUUUGAGCUACCUACAGCUUUUAACAAUUGACAGGAUGCAACUGGAGAAACUGGUUGUUUUUACCAAGGCUUGGACUGGAAAGGGCAUGCUUCCCUUAAAAAAAUCAAGCUUGACUUGCAGAGCCAAUAAAAGCCCAUUGGGAAAACCGGCCUCAUACCUUGUCUA
Pongo pygmaeus (Bornean orangutan) is the source of this 398-nucleotide long non-coding RNA. RefSeq lists it as uncharacterized. The record is from RefSeq and is a predicted model, not a curated record. Lineage: Eukaryota; Metazoa; Chordata; Mammalia; Primates; Hominidae. The transcript is spliced from 3 exons.